GAGAGUAACACCCCCAAAAAUGUUUGGAAAAAUUCAGAAGGUCUAAUUAAAAUCCAUCCUGUUGCAGAAGAGGUCAAAUAAAACCCUUUAGACAAAAGACUUGGUCUAAUCUUUAUACAUGAUAAUAGUCACCGUUAAGAUACACAUUUGUAUACUACGAGAACAACACAGAAGAUAGAGAUACUGAAACUUUUUACUGGUUUACCUAACCUGCAGGUUGGGGAAGAGCUGGUCAUGGGUUUGUCUUCAGGGAAGCCCGGCAUACAGAGUUUGAACCACCCUGUCACAGGGGGCUGGCCAAGCAUAGAAACACUUUCUAGUGUUUCUCUUUGAGACGAAUUCAAUAUGGCCGCCAAACAUGGUAGUGUUUUAUAUACACCGACAACUUUCUAAGGGGUACAUCCUAGGUUGUGUCCCAUUCUACCGUCGAGCAGAAGUAAAGUGAUGUUUGCCCAUCAAUGUGAGCACUGGUAAGAGUUUUGGAGGGUGGCUGUUGUUAGCUUGAUCUGGCUCUAGCUCCCUCUGCCUUGCUCAGUGAAGACAAACCCUCUGAACAAAAGCCUUUCCAUGCGCAACUCGUAAAGAUUCAUUAUUGCUUACAGGAACAAAGCAUUUUGUGUACAUGGACACACAGUGCAGAGUCAUGGAGAGCAAUGGAGUGGCAUAGGAAAAGGAAGGGGAGAGAGGGGAACAGACCUGAACAGCGUGGUCUGUUUCUGUCAGCUGGGGAAGGGUCAUACUGGCAUGGGGGUUAAAAGGGAAGGGUCAUACUGGCAUGGGGGUUAAAAGGGAAGGGUCAUACUGGCAUGGGGGGUAAAAGGGAAGGGUCAUACUGGCAUGGGGGGUAAAAGGGAAGGGUCAUACUGGCAUGGGGGUUAAAAGGGAAGGGUCAUACUGGCAUGGGGGGUAAAAGGGAAGGGUCAUACUGGCAUGGAGGUUAAAAGGGAAGGGUCAUACUGGCAUGAUGGGGUAAAAGGGAAGGGUCAUACUGGCAUGGGGGUUAAAAGGGAAGGGUCAUACUGGCAUGGGGGGUAAAAGGGAAGGGUCAUACUGGCAUGGGGGGUAAAAGGGAAGGGUCAUACUGGCAUGAGGGGGUAGAAGGGAAGGGUCAUACUGGCAUGGAGGGU
RNAcentral lists this long non-coding RNA (1127 nucleotides) under Salmo salar (Atlantic salmon). RNAcentral's name for it is "lncRNA (ENSSSAG00000099643.1)". Lineage: Eukaryota; Metazoa; Chordata; Actinopteri; Salmoniformes; Salmonidae. The record is from RNAcentral.